Non-coding RNA from Salmo salar (Atlantic salmon), 3023 nucleotides. The record is from RefSeq and is a predicted model, not a curated record. Lineage: Eukaryota; Metazoa; Chordata; Actinopteri; Salmoniformes; Salmonidae.
GAAUCAUGUGUUCAGAAGGAAAAUGAUCAGUUCCAUGGGGUUAUUGUCUUUGGGUAAAUAUACACAUGUGCUUUGUUCAGUCUGCAUAUAGAAAGGAAAUAUCUGUUAACAAGGGAUGACAGUCACUCCAAAUGGAUUAUGAUAUAAGUAAAGAUGAUUUCAUUGUGUGUUUUUGUUUCAAUACAAAAUUUGCAACAUUGGGAUAUUGAAGUUUGCGAGAGGUUAUGUUGUUAAAUUAUCUGUAACUCGUCUGAGAGAUCACCAGUAGAAUAAGGGAGUUAUCAUGGAAGGUGAUGUCAGAAUGCAUGGGAGAGAUAUUUUUACAACAAGUGUGUGUGAAGCUCUAACUCUCCCUAACCAGCGGAAGAGUGAGGGACAACUGCGUCUGAUGACCUGUGAACUGUAUCUGAAAUAGACAUGCUGGAAUGAUAUGUGCUGGAGGAGGAAGACUAAAAGGGGAAUAGGUUACUGACCUUUCAUUACCAGGCCUCUCAUGACAGAAAAACAGAGGCAAAUGGGGGCUGUAAUAUGAAUAGAUAGUACUGGUAUUACAAGUUUAGUAUAAAUGUAAAUUUUUAAGGGAAUGAAGCACUAAGGACUGAAUUCUGAUUUGGGUUGGACAAUUUAUAAAACGUUUUAGUUAUGAUUUGGACAUAGAACUGUUUAAAUUUACUAGGCCUAGGGAAGCUCUGGAAACUAAAUCCUGAGACAGGGAGGUUGACAGAACUUACAGAAGAUUAAAGGUUUUUGUUUCUUUUGUUUUAUUAUGUCAUUAGAAAUUUAAUGUUAAAUUGUAUUGAUAUAAUUGAUUGCAUAAAAAGUUUAUAGUCUGUUUUGCGAUACACACAAGGAUGAAGGAGGAGACCAACAUUAUGAGUAGUGGUCAUAGAAUGUAACGGAUGGACGUUUUCCCCAGGUUUAGUUACAUUAUGAGUAGUGGUCACUUAUUACAAAUAUGCAGUUAUUGUAAUUUAUUUUGCUCUUUUCUUGUCUGGUCAAUUUAUUUUUGUUUUAAGGAACAUAAGUGUGUUUAUUGUUCCUGAGGAGGGAAUUAUAUAAAUUGACUAAAAUUGAUUUGAGAAUGUUUAAGUAUGUAUCAAACUGUGGAAGGAAAUUAGUAGUAAAUGAUGUGUUAUGGGUUAGAAGAACUAUGACUGCAUUGGGGAUCUGAGGGGGCUCAUAAAUUAAGGUUAUGGUAGUAGAGGGGUGUUAUUUCUAGAGACUAUGUAUAUUAAUAGAAGAGAGAACUCACAGAAGAGAAAGGACAGCUGGCUGUGUAAAAUAUAGGGAUGCACAACAUAGGGACAAUUCUGAGUAAAUUGAACAUUACACAUACCUAGAUUAUGGUAAGAGUAAAAGUGAUAGUGGUGACAUUUAACACUAUGGUAAAAGUUUAAGAGAGUUAUGACUUGGAGUUUUAAGAGGUUGGAUAUUCUUCCAACUAGAAGACACUUGACUGAUUACAUGUUAUUCUAACAGCAGUUGCUGUAGGGACCAUAAUUUGGCUAUCAUUAUGUAUAAGAAUAUCUGUGGUAGGAGGCGAGGUAUUUGAGACAAUGUUUAAAUAGGGCUGUUAUUUAAAUAUUACAAAGUAGUGAUCUUGACAUGAGAAGAAAGUCUGUUGUCAGGAAAUAACCCAUGUGUUAGUGUGUAUGUCCUCAGGAGAAAAGCAACACAUAAGAAGCCAGAAAUAACCAAGGGCAUGGGCUGACUUCUAGAGAUUGAGUGUACAUCAAGAUACACCAGGCUGGGGGUAUACUUCUUACAGCACCUGCAGUGGUAAAGAUCAUCAUGUCUCUCUUCGGUGGGCGCAUAAUUCUCACAAGAAGUAAGGUCCAGCUGAAUAAUGGUCUUAUGCUUAGGAACCAGAAGGAGAGGGGUCGCCAGCUUCAGCUGGAAUGUUAGUUGGUGUAUGAUAAGUGAUGGAAAUAAGUGGAUGUAUGGUGUGAUCAUAAAACAGAGGCCAUAAGUCUCUAAGUUUGAAUGCCUCACAGAAAGAAGGCAGAAACCUGAACCAGGACCAGAGGUUCCACGUCUGGUGAUCCAAGAGACCAGGUCUGAGUGUUCCAGAAGAAAGGAAUGAGCCAAGGAGGGAGGGUCCCUACAAGGUGGCUCGAACAAUGUUAACUGCUGUCCAGGUGAAAGGAAGCAACACGUGGUACCAUCUAAACCACUGUACCAAAGUCCCGUCAGAAAGGAGGGGACAACCACCAGGCCAGGCAGGAGCCAGGCAGGAGCCAGGCAGGAGCCAGGCAGGAGCCAGGCAGGAGCCAGGCAGGAGCCAGGCAGAAGACAGGCAGGAGACGAAGAGGAGGUGGAUCGAGGAGCAACUUUCAAGAGCCAACAGACACUCUCUCCUGAAUAUCCAGAGAGUCCAGGGAUGGGGAGGAGUGACAUGCCUGUUGCUCCUGAUGACAUACCUACUCUGGCAGAUACCCCUGAUAGAGGUGUUGUUCAAGGGGACGGAGAAACAACGACAGGAGAAUGGAAAGGAGACUUUCUUAUCAACUUCUCUGUCCUCACAUGGUCUUUUUAACAGACAGUGAAACAGGAUAGAUGAAGAAUGGUAGAAUGGUCUUGACAGCAACAGCAACAAACCUAGAAGAAAUUGUAAAAUUACCUCCCACUAGAGACUAGUACACAAACUAAGACAAUAGAAAAACCAUAAGAAAGUGGGUUGAUGCAGAAAUCUGGACAUCUGUUACCAACUGGGGUAGCUACAAUGAAGAAACUACCCAAGAAUCAAACAUUGAUCAAAAAUUUAGAAAAGCAAUAACAAAUGGCUUGUAUAGGUGGGCUCAGUAAGAAGCAACUAAACAUAGGAUGGACAAUUGCAUUUUGUCUAGCAAAUCACAUUUGUCUGAUAUUUUAAUAAUACCUGAACUUGCAUCUGUUGAAGAAUGUGUUAAAUGGAAAAUGUUCAAUGUAUUCAGAGUCAAUACUACAUACCUUUGUGUAACAUAGAAUGCAGAUUGGCAUUAGGUAGCACUAAAGGUAGAAGUGAAUUAAACCAAAAUAUGUUG